Molecule: ribosomal RNA, 733 nt
Filed under: uncultured archaeon
Lineage: Archaea
Description: bacterial SSU rRNA
Rfam family: Archaeal small subunit ribosomal RNA
Source: RNAcentral
AGACAACUUACCCUUGGGACCGGGAUAACCCUUGGGAAACUAGGGCUAAUACCGGAUAGUGCAUCGAUUGCUGGAAUGCACGAUGUAUGAAAGCUGAGGCGCCCAAGGAUAGGUCUGUGGCCGAUUAGGUUGUUGUUGAUGUAACGGAUCAACAAGCCUACGAUCGGUACGGGUUGUGAGAGCAAUAGCCCGGAGAUGGGUUCUGAGAGAAGAACCCAGGUCCUACGGGACGCAUCAGGCGCGAAAACUUUACAAUGUGCGAAAGCACGAUAAGGGAACUCUGAGUGCCUCCUAAGGAGGCUGUUCAGAUGUUUAAAAAGCAUCUGGAGGAAGGGCUGGGCAAGACCGGUGCCAGCCGCCGCGGCAACACCGGCAGCCCAAGUGGUGGUCACGCUUACUGGGUCUAAAGCGUCCGUAGCCGGCUAGGUAAGUUCCUUGGGAAAUUUAAUCGCUUAACGAUUAAGCUACCUGGGAAUACUAUCUGGCUUGGGACCGGGAGAGGUCAGAGGUACCUCAAGGGUAGGGGUGAAAUCCGUUAAUCCUUGGGGGACCACCGGUAGCGAAGGCGUCUGACCAGACCGGAUCCGACGGUGAGGGACGAAGGCUAGGGGAGCGAAGCGGAUUAGAUACCCGCGUAGUCCUAGCUGUAAACGAUGCGGGCUAGGUGUUGGUAUUACUGCGAGUGAUGCCAGUGCCGAAGGGAAGCCGUUAAGCCCGCCAUCUGGGGAGUCCG